RNAcentral lists this ribosomal RNA (253 nucleotides) under uncultured bacterium. Its description in RNAcentral is "partial 16S ribosomal RNA". It matches the Rfam family "Bacterial small subunit ribosomal RNA", at positions 524 to 776 of the family's 1533-position model. The record is from RNAcentral.
UACAGAGGGUGCGAGCGUUAAUCGGAAUUACUGGGCGUAAAGCGCGUGUAGGCGGCUCUUCAAGUCAGGCGUGAAAGCCCCGGGCUCAACCCGGGAACUGCGCUUGAUACUGUCGAGCUAGAGUGUGGAAGGGGCGAUUGGAAUUCCGUGUGUAGCGGUGAAAUGCGUAGAUAUACGGAGGAACACCAGAGGCGAAGGCGGAUCGCUGGGCCAACACUGACGCUGAGACGCGAAGGCUAGGGUAGCAAACGGG